AUUGAACGCUGGCGGCAUGCCUUACACAUGCAAGUCGAACGGUAACAGGUCUUCGGAUGCUGACGAGUGGCGAACGGGUGAGUAAUACAUCGGAACGUGCCUAGUAGUGGGGGAUAACUACUCGAAAGAGUGGCUAAUACCGCAUGAGAUCUACGGAUGAAAGCAGGGGAUCGCAAGACCUUGUGCUACUAGAGCGGCCGAUGGCAGAUUAGGUAGUUGGUGGGAUAAAAGCUUACCAAGCCGGCGAUCUGUAGCUGGUCUGAGAGGAGGAUCAGGCACCAGGGGACUGGGAAAAGGCCCAGACUCCUACGGGAGGAGGCAUUGGGGAAUUUUGGACAAUGGGCGCAAGCCUGAUCCAGCAAUGCCGCGUGCAGGAUGAAGGCCUUGGUGUUGUAAACUGCUUUUGUACGGAACGAAAAGCCCCGGGUUAAUACCCUGGGGUCAUGACGGUACCGUAAGAAUAAGCACCGGCUAACUACGUGCCAGCAGCCGCCGUAA
This 498-nucleotide ribosomal RNA is filed under the name uncultured bacterium. RNAcentral describes it as "partial 16S ribosomal RNA". It matches the Rfam family "Bacterial small subunit ribosomal RNA", at positions 30 to 523 of the family's 1533-position model. The record is from RNAcentral.